UUAUAAUCAUAUCAAAAAAUUCAUUUAUUUCAAAAUAGCGGACUCCCGCGACUCCGCGUGGAAUUCAGUUUUUCACAAAUCCCGCGGGAACUAUGGUUUUUUUCGGUAUAAAAAGUAGUCUAUGUGUUAAUCCAGGCUAUAAUCUAUAUAUAUUUAUUUAUAACGCGUGAAAGAGUAACAAACAUUCAUAUCAUCAAAAUCAUCAGAUUUUUGCAAAUUUCGGGAAACCAUGGAUUAUUGUGUUAAUCCAGAGUAAAAUCUAUUAUCUAUUUCCAUUCCAAACUGGCAGAUCACUGGCUGAGAUCUCUUUUAAAAUUCAUUUAUUAUAUUCUUAGGGGUAGAGAUCGAGUUGGAUCAAAGCGAAGCUUGACCGGGUCCACUAAUUAAUAAUUAUUAGAUAAUGGUGAUAAUAAUUAGUCGAAAACUUAAAAUUAAAAAUUUACAUCAUCAUCAUCAUAAUGAGCACUUCUAAUCAAUAAAGAGAAAUAUGAUAUGCUUUAACACGUUGACGGACAGUACUGCCUGUAGGCGUCAAGCCAGUCAGAAGUAAUACGACAGUACGCCCUUCGACGUCGAUCUUUUGACUAGUUUAAACACAGUACGCCAUACGACGUAAAAUUUUACCGGCAAUCAUAAGGAAGGGCAUGUUGUACUGUCACCGAAGAUAUAUUUUAGACUUUGUACUGUCACCACACAAUGUUAAAAAAUCUGUUCAAAGAAAGUACCUGCACUCACACAUCCAAAUUUUAUUGGCACCACCCUUACACACACUACGCCCAUAGCCGUCGUGUUUUCAUACAUUUUGUUUAGUACUGCGCCACGGCGGUGCGCCGACAGGUCGUUACGUGAUUUCGCGCGCAAUUAUUUUUUCGAACAUGGCAUUUUCUCGCAAUUCAUAUGAAAAAGAACAAAAGCGGAUUCAGGACCUAUUUGACGCUGUUUUGACUUCUGAAUCGAGUCAUGACCCCUUCGAAGAUGAUGGAGAAUUCGGAUCCGAUGCCGAUUUUCAACCAUCUGGUGAA
Molecule: long non-coding RNA, 1022 nt
Organism: Bicyclus anynana (squinting bush brown)
Lineage: Eukaryota; Metazoa; Arthropoda; Insecta; Lepidoptera; Nymphalidae
Exons: 2
Source: RefSeq, a predicted model, not a curated record